RNAcentral lists this non-coding RNA (30 nucleotides) under Rattus norvegicus (Norway rat). Lineage: Eukaryota; Metazoa; Chordata; Mammalia; Rodentia; Muridae. The record is from RNAcentral.
UCGGAGUCUAUUUCCCAUUAAUGUAAUGAA